This 253-nucleotide ribosomal RNA is filed under the name uncultured bacterium. RNAcentral describes it as "partial 16S ribosomal RNA". It matches the Rfam family "Bacterial small subunit ribosomal RNA", at positions 524 to 776 of the family's 1533-position model. The record is from RNAcentral.
UACGUAGGUGGCAAGCGUUAUCCGGAUUUAUUGGGCGUAAAGGGAACGCAGGCGGUCUUUUAAGUCUGAUGUGAAAGCCUUCGGCUUAACCGGGGAAGUGCAUUGGAAACUGGGAGACUUGAGUGCAGAAGAGGAGAGUGGAACUCCAUGUGUAGCGGUGAAAUGCGUAGAUAUAUGGAAGAACACCAGUGGCGAAAGCGGCUCUCUGGUCUGUAACUGACGCUGAGGUUCGAAAGCGUGGGUAGCAAACAGG